ACGCUGGCGGCAUGCCUUACACAUGCAAGUCGAACGGCAGCGCGGGGCAACCUGGCGGCGAGUGGCGAACGGGUGAGUAAUAUAUCGGAACGUACCCUGGAGUGGGGGAUAACGUAGCGAAAGUUACGCUAAUACCGCAUACGAUCUAAGGAUGAAAGUGGGGGACUCGCAAGAGCCUCAUGCUCCUGGAGCGGCCGAUAUCUGAUUAGCUAGUUGGUAGGGUAAAAGCCUACCAAGGCUUCGAUCAGUAGCUGGUCUGAGAGGACGACCAGCCACACUGGAACUGAGACACGGUCCAGACUCCUACGGGAGGCAGCAGUGGGGAAUUUUGGACAAUGGGCGCAAGCCUGAUCCAGCAAUGCCGCGUGAGUGAAGAAGGCCUUCGGGUUGUAAAGCUCUUUUGUCAGGGAAGAAACGGUGAGAGCUAAUAUCUCUUGCUAAUGACGGUACCUGAAGAAUAAGCACCGGCUAACUACGUGCCAGCAGCCGCGGUAAUACGUAGGGUGCAAGCGUUAAUCGGAAUUACUGGGCGUAAAGCGUGCGCAGGCGGUUUUGUAAGUUUGUCGUGAAAGCCCCGGGCUCAACCUGGGAAUUGCGAUGAAGACUGCAAGGCUUGAAUCUGGCAGAGGGGGGUAGAAUUCCACGUGUAGCAGUGAAAUGCGUAGAGAUGUGGAGGAACACCGAUGGCGAAGGCAGCCCCCUGGGUCAAGAUUGACGCUCAUGCACGAAAGCGUGGGGAGCAAAC
Molecule: ribosomal RNA, 745 nt
Filed under: uncultured bacterium
Lineage: Bacteria
Description: bacterial SSU rRNA
Rfam family: Bacterial small subunit ribosomal RNA
Source: RNAcentral